GAUGAACGCUGGCGGCGUGCUUAACACAUGCAAGUCGAACGGGAUCGGCUGGAGCUUGCUCCGGCCGUGAGAGUGGCGAACGGGUGAGUAAUGCGUGACCGACCUGCCCCAUACACCGGAAUAGCUCCUGGAAACGGGUGGUAAUGCCGGAUGCUCCAGUUGGAUGCAUGUCCUUCUGGGAAAGAUUCAUCGGUAUGGGAUGGGGUCGCGUCCUAUCAGGUAGUCGGCGGGGUAACGGCCCACCGAGCCUACGACGGGUAGCCGGCCUGAGAGGGCGACCGGCCACAUUGGGACUGAGAUACGGCCCAGACUCCUACGGGAGGCAGCAGUGGGGAAUAUUGCACAAUGGGCGCAAGCCUGAUGCAGCGACGCCGCGUGCGGGAUGACGGCCUUCGGGUUGUAAACCGCUUUUGACUGGGAGCAAGCCCUUCG
Molecule: ribosomal RNA, 432 nt
Filed under: uncultured bacterium
Lineage: Bacteria
Description: bacterial SSU rRNA
Rfam family: Bacterial small subunit ribosomal RNA
Source: RNAcentral